This 645-nucleotide long non-coding RNA is filed under the name Lepisosteus oculatus (spotted gar). Its description in RNAcentral is "lncRNA (ENSLOCG00000021728.1)". The record is from RNAcentral. Lineage: Eukaryota; Metazoa; Chordata; Actinopteri; Semionotiformes; Lepisosteidae.
UUCCUUCUUGGUGGAGACCUUGAGUCUGACAUGUGCUACUCUUUGGUAAAGAUUGUGGGCAAUUUUUGUCUCCUUCUAAUGAUGUCCUGAGCACAAAACAUGCUUUACAAAAGGUUUAAGAAUUUAGUGAACGUAAUGGUGUCAAUAAGUUAAUACUUUAUGUCUGCCUCCAAGCUAUAUUUACCUAUGAAUGAGAAAAGGUAUGUUAUUCGUUUUCUUUCAUGAGCCUCAUACAGACUUUAAAGCAACCCUGAACGGAGACAUCCAAGCACAGACCUCAGCCCGUGUGCUACGUUCCUGUGGCAGGAUAUGCGAGGAUAGUUUAGAUCACUGCUGUUUUGCGAGAUGCAGUACACCUCAGUGAAAGAAUGAAAGACCUCCAGCUGCGCUUCUGUCCUCCUCCUCAGAGCGUUGAGCCGGGCGGCAGUUUCACCAGGCGCUGACGACAGCGUCUCAGGUCUGCCGCCGAGAGUCUGCAAGGUGCAGUGCCUUCCAGAGACCCCCGGGGAACCAGGAGGGAGGUGUUCCUUAACCUGUGGGAGGAAGGAGUGGAUAAAUCACUAUUUGUUUACCCUUUUAGAGCCUUAAUCGAGCAAUUAAAUCUUCUGAUUGUGUCAAAUUACAAAAGAAAGGGAGUGAAGUACU